Molecule: Y RNA, 97 nt
Filed under: Propithecus coquereli (Coquerel's sifaka)
Lineage: Eukaryota; Metazoa; Chordata; Mammalia; Primates; Indriidae
Description: Y RNA (ENSPCOG00000005853.1)
Rfam family: Y RNA
About the family: Y RNAs are components of the Ro ribonucleoprotein particle (Ro RNP), in association with Ro60 and La proteins. The Y RNAs and Ro60 and La proteins are well conserved, but the function of the Ro RNP is not known.
Source: RNAcentral
GGCUGGUCCAAUGGUAGUGGGUUAUCAGAACUUAUUAAUAUUAGCGUCACUAAAGUUGGUAUACCAACCCCCCACUGCUAAAUUUGACUGGCUUAAC